RNAcentral lists this long non-coding RNA (430 nucleotides) under Lathyrus oleraceus (garden pea). RNAcentral describes it as "Pisum sativum (pea) long non-coding RNA (PSAT_LNC035877)". Lineage: Eukaryota; Viridiplantae; Streptophyta; Magnoliopsida; Fabales; Fabaceae. The record is from RNAcentral.
AGACACCGCCUCAGCAGCAGCAGUCUCCGUCGGGCCACACAGAGACGUUGACGCCUAUCUCUGCCUUCGCACGAGGGCAGACUAUGUUGGAUCCGACAGAUAUGAUUAACUUUGAUACCCAUAUGCAGGACGGUGGACAGAGUGAUUGAUUUUGCUUGUUGUUUUUGUACUUUUGGUUUUCUUUGUGUAAUUUUUGUUUUUUUUAGUUAUUCAGUUUUUAAUUUCUGUUGCUUUGAUGUAACCACCUAUUAUGGGUUGGCUUAUUCUAAUGAAUUUGAUUUGGUUUACCUCCAGUUUCCUGUUUAUUUCAUUAGAUACGUGACUAUGUCUGGCUAUUGGUUUUCUUGAUCACAUACACCAACUACUUGGGCGUUCUCUCUUUCAGUCCCCUGACUGUAGAUACUGUUGUUUAUGAUUGGACGCACUGGUU